UACGUAGGGUGCGAGCGUUGUCCGGAAUUAUUGGGCGUAAAGAGCUCGUAGGCGGUUUGUCGCGUCUGCUGUGAAAACUCAGGGCUUAACCCUGAGCUUGCAGUGGGUACGGGCAGACUAGAGUGCGGUAGGGGAGACUGGAAUUCCUGGUGUAGCGGUGAAAUGCGCAGAUAUCAGGAGGAACACCGGUGGCGAAGGCGGGUCUCUGGGCCGUAACUGACGCUGAGGAGCGAAAGCAUGGGGAGCGAACAGG
RNAcentral lists this ribosomal RNA (253 nucleotides) under uncultured bacterium. RNAcentral's name for it is "partial 16S ribosomal RNA". It matches the Rfam family "Bacterial small subunit ribosomal RNA", at positions 524 to 776 of the family's 1533-position model. The record is from RNAcentral.